CCUACGGGGGGCUGCAGUGAGGAAUAUUGCGCAAUGGGGGCAACCCUGACGCAGCAACGCCGCGUGAGUGAGGAAGGUUUUCGGAUUGUAAAGCUCUGUCGAGCGGAAAGAAAUGCACGAUGGCUAAUAUCCAUCAUGCUUGACGGUACCGCUAGAGGAAGCACCGGCUAACUCCGUGCCAGCAGCCGCGGUAAUACGGGGGGUGCAAGCGUUGUUCGGAAUCAUUGGGCGUAAAGAGCGUGUAGGCGGCUGGACAAGUCAGAUGUGAAAUCCCUGGGCUUAACCCAGGAAGUGCAUUUGAAACUGUCUAGCUGGAGUAAGGGAGAGGAAAGUGGAAUUCCUGGUGUAGAGGUGAAAUUCGUAGAUAUCAGGAGGAACACCGGUGGCGAAGGCGACUUUCUGGCCCUAUACUGACGCUGAGACGCGAAAGCGUGGGUAGCAAACAGGAUUAGAUACCCCAGUAGUC
RNAcentral lists this ribosomal RNA (466 nucleotides) under uncultured Smithella sp. RNAcentral describes it as "bacterial SSU rRNA". It matches the Rfam family "Bacterial small subunit ribosomal RNA", at positions 338 to 795 of the family's 1533-position model. Lineage: Bacteria; Pseudomonadati; Thermodesulfobacteriota; Syntrophia; Syntrophales; Smithellaceae. The record is from RNAcentral.